This 255-nucleotide unclassified non-coding RNA is filed under the name plant metagenome. Its description in RNAcentral is "partial contains small subunit ribosomal RNA and internal transcribed spacer 1". The stretch from base 1 to 46 matches the Rfam family "Eukaryotic small subunit ribosomal RNA", at positions 1786 to 1831 of the family's 1831-position model. The record is from RNAcentral.
AAGUCGUAACAAGGUUUCCGUAGGUGAACCUGCGGAGGGAUCAUUACAAAUAAAAGCUGGUAGGAAGUGGGGUCUUGAUCUGUAAGUGUAGAGCGAACAGUCCGGUGCCUCCCGAAAGUCUACAUGUCCCCCACAGCCUGAAAGGCCGAAAUUAAACCCUUGAUUAUCUAACUUGUUGCUUUGGGGUGCCAAGUGCCCCAGAGGACCCAACUCUCUUGCAUUUAGUGACGUCGAGUACUAUAUAAUAUUUAAAAA